CCUACGGGAGGCAGCAGUGGGGAAUAUUGGACAAUGGGCGAAAGCCUGAUCCAGCAAUGCCGCGUGAGUGAUGAAGGCCUUCGGGUCGUAAAGCUCUUUUACCAGGGAUGAUAAUGACAGUACCUGGAGAAUAAGCUCCGGCUAACUCCGUGCCAGCAGCCGCGGUAAUACGGAGGGAGCUAGCGUUGUUCGGAAUUACUGGGCGUAAAGAGUACGUAGGCGGUUAUUCAAGUCAGAGGUGAAAGCCCGGGGCUCAACCCCGGAACUGCCUUUGAAACUAGAUAACUAGAGUCUUGGAGAGGUUAGUGGAAUUCCGAGUGUAGAGGUGAAAUUCGUAGAUAUUCGGAAGAACACCAGUGGCGAAGGCGACUAACUGGACAAGUACUGACGCUGAGGUACGAAAGCGUGGGGAGCAAACAGGAUUAGAUACCCUGGUAGUCCACGCCGUAAACGAUGAUAACUAGUUGUUCGGUCACUUGGUGACUGAGUGACGCAGCUAACGCAUUAAGUUAUCCGCCUGGGGAGUACGGUCGCAAGAUUAAAACUCAAAUGAAUUGACGGCUGAGACGNGCGACGACGACGACGACGGGAGGUAGG
This 597-nucleotide ribosomal RNA is filed under the name uncultured bacterium. RNAcentral's name for it is "bacterial SSU rRNA". It matches the Rfam family "Bacterial small subunit ribosomal RNA", at positions 338 to 1212 of the family's 1533-position model. The record is from RNAcentral.